This 253-nucleotide ribosomal RNA is filed under the name uncultured bacterium. Its description in RNAcentral is "partial 16S ribosomal RNA". It matches the Rfam family "Bacterial small subunit ribosomal RNA", at positions 524 to 776 of the family's 1533-position model. The record is from RNAcentral.
UACGUAGGGUGCGAGCGUUGUCCGGAAUUAUUGGGCGUAAAGAGCUCGUAGGCGGCUUGUCGCGUCGACUGUGAAAACCCGCGGCUUAACUGCGGGACUGCAGUCGAUACGGGCAGGCUAGAGUUCGGUAGGGGAGACUGGAAUUCCUGGUGUAGCGGUGAAAUGCGCAGAUAUCAGGAGGAACACCGGUGGCGAAGGCGGGUCUCUGGGCCGACACUGACGCUGAGGAGCGAAAGCGUGGGGAGCGAACAGG